This 858-nucleotide ribosomal RNA is filed under the name uncultured bacterium. Its description in RNAcentral is "bacterial SSU rRNA". It matches the Rfam family "Bacterial small subunit ribosomal RNA", at positions 8 to 916 of the family's 1533-position model. The record is from RNAcentral.
AGAGUUUGAUCCUGGCUCAGAACGAACGCUGGCGGCAGGCUAACACAUGCAAGUCGAGCGCACUUCGGGUGAGCGGCGGACGGGUUAGUAACGCGUGGGAACAUACCCUUUCUCUAAGGAAUAGUCCCGGGAAACUGGGGGUAAUACUUAUAAGCCCUUUCGGGGGAAAGAUUUAUCGGUGAAGGAUUGGCCCGCGUAAGAUUAGAUAGUUGGUGGGGUAAUGGCCUACCAAGUCUACGAUCUUUAGCUGGUUUGAGAGGAUGAUCAGCAACACUGGGACUGAGACACGGCCCAGACUCCUACGGGAGGCAGCAGUGGGGAAUCUUAGACAAUGGGCGCAAGCCUGAUCUAGCCAUGCCGCGUGAGUGACGAAGGCCUUAGGGUCGUAAAGCUCUUUCGCCAGAGAUGAUAAUGACAGUAUCUGGUAAAGAAACCCCGGCUAACUCCGUGCCAGCAGCCGCGGUAAUACGGAGGGGGUUAGUGUUGUUCGGAAUUACUGGGCGUAAAGCGUACGUAGGCGGAUUAGUCAGUCAGAGGUGAAAUCCCAGGGCUCAACCCUGGAACUGCCUUUGAUACUGCUAGUCUUGAGUUCGAGAGAGGUGAGUGGAAUUCCAAGUGUAGAGGUGAAAUUCGUAGAUAUUUGGAGGAACACCAGUGGCGAAGGCGGCUCACUGGCUCGAUACUGACGCUGAGGUACGAAAGUGUGGGGAGCAAACAGGAUUAGAUACCCUGGUAGUCCACACCGUAAACGAUGAAUGCCAGACGUCGGGGGGCUUGCCCUUCGGUGUCACACCUAACGGAUUAAGCAUUCCGCCUGGGGAGUACGGUCGCAAGAUUAAAACUCAAAGGAAUUGACGG